UUCCGGUUGAUCCUGCCGGAGGCUACCGCUAUUGGAGUUCGAUUAAGCCAUGCGAGUCUAGAGGCUUCGGCCUCGGCGUACCGCUCAGUAACACGUGGGUAACCUGCCCUAUGGAGGGGAAUACCUCGGGAAACUGAGAAUAAUGCCCCAUAGCCCACUACGCCUGGAACGGUGAGUGGGUCAAAGCUCCGGCGCCAUAGGAUGGGCCUGCGCCGUAUCAGGUUGUAGGGGGUGUAAAGUACCCUCUAGCCAUCAACGCGUACGGGUGUUGGGAGACACUGCCCGGAGAUGGAUUCUGAGACACGAAUCCAGACCCUACGGGGUGCAGCAGGCGCGAAAACUUGGCAAUGCGAGAAAUCGUGACCAGGGAACACCAAGUGGCAGGGGUAAGACCCUGUCUUUUUCCGACUCUAAAUAGGUCGGCGAAUAAGGGGUGGGUAAGGACGGUGCCAGCCGCCGCGGUAAUACCGGCGCCUCAAGUGGUAGUCGCUUUUAUUGGGCCUAAAACGUCCGUAGCCGGUCUGGUACAUUCGUGGGUAAAUCAACUCGCUUAACGAGUUGAAUUCUGCGAGGACGGCCAGACUUGGGACCGGGAGAGGUGUGGGGUACUCUCAGGGUAGGGGUAAAAUCCUGUCAUCCUGAGAGGACCACCUGUUGCGAAGGCUCCACACUAGAACGGAUCCGACGGUCAGGGACGAAGCCUAGGGGCACGAACCGGAUUAGAUACCCGGGUAGUCCUAGGUGUAAACGCUGUGGACUUGAUGUUGGGGACGCUCCGAGCGUUCUCAGUGUCGAAGCGAAGGCGAUAAGUCCACUGCCUGGGGAGUACGGUCGCAAGGCUGAAACUUAAAGGAAUUGGCGGGGGAGCAC
This 870-nucleotide ribosomal RNA is filed under the name uncultured euryarchaeote. Its description in RNAcentral is "bacterial SSU rRNA". It matches the Rfam family "Archaeal small subunit ribosomal RNA", at positions 1 to 879 of the family's 1478-position model. The record is from RNAcentral. Lineage: Archaea; Methanobacteriati; Methanobacteriota.